Molecule: long non-coding RNA, 219 nt
Organism: Anguilla rostrata (American eel)
Lineage: Eukaryota; Metazoa; Chordata; Actinopteri; Anguilliformes; Anguillidae
Exons: 2
Source: RefSeq, a predicted model, not a curated record
AGUGCAACAGCGGGGCCAGCCCUACAAACGCGAAUGUCUGUGACUGACUGACUGAUGAAGUUACACCAUUGGUCGGCCGAGUUAUGAAGUUACACCAUUGGUCGGCCGGAUCACGUGUGUUAGGUCCGGCCAUAUACUAGGUUUUGACCUGGUCUUGUUUUCCCAACACUCUACGUCAAUGACCGCAAUGAAACAGAGAGGCAUGCAGAUUUUUUUUUU